RNAcentral lists this long non-coding RNA (329 nucleotides) under Mytilus galloprovincialis (Mediterranean mussel). The record is from RNAcentral. Lineage: Eukaryota; Metazoa; Mollusca; Bivalvia; Mytilida; Mytilidae.
GCUGGUAUUUAGAUCGCUACAAGUGACUUUCAAUAAUACAACCAUUCUUUCCGGAUCUAUUUUUAAUGCAGAUCGGCUGUUGGGUUGGGUAACAUAUCCUUUAUUUUGAUGAGUAAUAGCCACAUUAUAUGGUUCACUGUCUAAAAUAAGCUUCUUGAAAUAAUUUCCAACCGGAUCGAAUAAUAUAAGAUUCUUUUUGUCGUAGUCACAUACUAAAAUGUUUCCCUUUGUUAAAGCUGCUAUGCCAGUUAUUCGUCUGAACUCAUGAUUAAAAGAACAAUUAAAAGAAAACGAAUGUCUAACAUGUCCUGGAACUGCCAAUAUUUGUG